UACGUAGGGUGCAAGCGUUAUUCGGAAUUACUGGGCGUAAAGCGCGCGCAGGCGGUUUUUCAAGUCUGGCGUGAAAUCCCCGGGCUUAACCUGGGAAUUGCGUUGGAGACUGCAAGGCUGGAGUCUGGCAGAGGGGGGUAGAAUUCCACGUGUAGCAGUGAAAUGCGUAGAGAUGUGGAGGAACACCGAUGGCGAAGGCAGCCCCCUGGGUCAAGACUGACGCUCAUGCACGAAAGCGUGGGGAGCAAACAGG
This 253-nucleotide ribosomal RNA is filed under the name uncultured bacterium. RNAcentral describes it as "partial 16S ribosomal RNA". It matches the Rfam family "Bacterial small subunit ribosomal RNA", at positions 524 to 776 of the family's 1533-position model. The record is from RNAcentral.